GUUCUUGUAGCUUACCCACCAAAGCCCUGGUCUUGUAAACCAAAACAGAAAUAAAUUUCCAAGAGCA
RNAcentral lists this transfer RNA (67 nucleotides) under Anolis punctatus (spotted anole). RNAcentral describes it as "tRNA-Thr". The record is from RNAcentral. Lineage: Eukaryota; Metazoa; Chordata; Lepidosauria; Squamata; Anolidae.